CGAAGCGUGCGAUUGGAUUGCACGUCUAAGCAGUAAGGCUGAGUAUUAGGCAAAUCCGGUACUCGUUAAGGCUGAGCUGUGAUGGGGAGAAGACAUUGUGUCUUCGAGUCGUUGAUUUCACACUGCCGAGAAAAGCCUCUAGAUAGAAAAUAGGUGCCCGUACCGCAAACCGACACAGGUAGUCAAGAUGAGAAUUCUAAGGUGAGCGAGCGAACUCUCGUUAAGGAACUCGGCAAAAUGACCCCGUAACUUCGGGAGAAGGGGUGCUCUUUAGGGUUAACGCCCAGAAGAGCCGCAGUGAAUAGGCCCAAGCGACUGUUUAUCAAAAACACAGGUCUCUGCUAAACCGUAAGGUGAUGUAUAGGGGCUGACGCCUGCCCGGUGCUGGAAG
Molecule: ribosomal RNA, 391 nt
Filed under: Staphylococcus aureus
Lineage: Bacteria; Bacillati; Bacillota; Bacilli; Caryophanales; Staphylococcaceae
Description: partial 23S ribosomal RNA
Rfam family: Bacterial large subunit ribosomal RNA
Source: RNAcentral